This is a long non-coding RNA of Ornithodoros turicata, 462 nucleotides long. RefSeq lists it as uncharacterized. The transcript is spliced from 5 exons. The record is from RefSeq and is a predicted model, not a curated record. NCBI's taxonomy places the organism in Eukaryota, Metazoa, Arthropoda, Arachnida, Ixodida, Argasidae.
GGGCGGCGUCCAUUUCGCUAGCAAGCUUCGUUGCGUUCGCACGCCUUUUUCUGGCUCCCGUUGUCUCGCGUUCCGUCGUUGCUCUGGUGCCCUGGACUGCUGUGAAUGUGUUUUUAUGCCCUACUAGUGUUGCCUGGGGUGCUUUUAUGUGUGCAUCCUGGAAGAUAGGUCCAGAAGCCUUGCGAUUUCUUAGAUUAAAGCUAAGUGUACUCGUGACCCUACCAGCACUUUUCAAGAUACUUUCGACGUAUUCAUUGCGGUGAACAACGCGGUUGGGACAGUACACUCACGACGUGGGAAGGUCACAGAAAUGUUGAAAGACAUCAGAUUGGGCAUACGCUUCACCCGUGCAACUUCGUCAUGUGCUCCACGGCAGCACAAGCCUUUACGGCUGUGCCACUAUGUGUGGAAACGUCGUAGCGGAUGAAUGUGAAUUAUGGAUCUCCAAGUGGCGUCGCCCGC